RNAcentral lists this ribosomal RNA (468 nucleotides) under uncultured bacterium. RNAcentral describes it as "partial 16S ribosomal RNA". It matches the Rfam family "Bacterial small subunit ribosomal RNA", at positions 28 to 507 of the family's 1533-position model. The record is from RNAcentral.
GACGAACGCUGGCGGCGGGCUUAACACAUGCAAGUCGAACGGAAAGGCCCUGCUUGUGUGUGGUGCUCGAGUGGCGAACGGGUGAGUAACAUGUGAGUAACCUGCCCUGGACUUUGGGAUAACUUCAGGAAACUGGGGCUAAUACCUGAUAGGAGCUCCUGCUGCAUGGUGGGGGUUGGAAAGUUUCGGCGGUUGGGGAUGGACUCGGGGCUUAUCAGCUUGUGGGUGGGGUAGUGGCUUACCAAGGCUUUGACUGGUAGCCGGCCUGAGAGGGUGACCGGCCACAUUGGGCCUGAGAUACGGCCCAGACUCCAACGGGAGGCAGCAGUGGGGAAUAUUGCACAAUGGGCGGACGCCUGAUGCAGAAACGCCGCGUGCGGGAUGACGGCCUUCGGGUUGUAAACCGCUUUCGCCUGUGACGAAGCGUGAGUGACGGUAAUGGGUAAAGAAGCACCGGCUAACUACGUG